This 31-nucleotide non-coding RNA is filed under the name Mus musculus (house mouse). The record is from RNAcentral. Lineage: Eukaryota; Metazoa; Chordata; Mammalia; Rodentia; Muridae.
UCUUUGGUCUCUUAAGGUAGAACAUGGCUCA